AGAGUUUGAUCAUGGCUCAGAAUCAACGCUGGCGGCGUGCCUCAGACAUGCAAGUCGAACGCGAAAGUUCCCUUCGGGGAGCAAGUAGAGUGGCGCACGGGUGAGUAACACGUAGGUAAUCUACCUUCGGAUGGGGAAUAACAACCGGAAACGGUUGCUAAUACCGCAUAAUGCAGCGGCACCUAAUGGUGACAGUUGUUAAAGCGGGGGAUCGUAAGACCUCGCGUCUGGAGAGGAGCCUGCGGCGGAUUAGCUAGUUGGUAAGGUAACGGCUUACCAAGGCUAUGAUCCGUAGCCGGCCUGAGAGGGCGGUCGGCCACACUGACACUGACAUACGGGUCAGACUCCUACGGGAGGCAGCAGUCGGGAAUUUUGGGCAAUGGGCGAAAGCCUGACCCAGCAACGCCGCGUGAAGGAUGAAAUCCUUCGGGAUGUAAACUUCGCAAGAACGGGAAGAAUAAGCCGGUAUUAACACCACCGGUGAUGACGGUACUGUUUGUAAGCUCCGGCUAACUCCGUGCCAGCCGCCGCGGUAAUUC
This 539-nucleotide ribosomal RNA is filed under the name uncultured bacterium. Its description in RNAcentral is "bacterial SSU rRNA". It matches the Rfam family "Bacterial small subunit ribosomal RNA", at positions 8 to 526 of the family's 1533-position model. The record is from RNAcentral.